CGGCGGACGGGUGAGUAACGCGUGGGUAACCUGCCUCAUACAGGGGGAUAACAGUUGGAAACGGCUGCUAAUACCGCAUAAGCGCACAGUACCGCAUGGUACGGUGUGAAAAACUCCGGUGGUAUGAGAUGGACCCGCGUCUGAUUAGGUAGUUGGUGGGGUAACGGCCUACCAAGCCGACGAUCAGUAGCCGGACUGAGAGGUUGACCGGCCACAUUGGGACUGAGAUACGGCCCAG
RNAcentral lists this ribosomal RNA (238 nucleotides) under uncultured bacterium. RNAcentral's name for it is "partial 16S ribosomal RNA". It matches the Rfam family "Bacterial small subunit ribosomal RNA", at positions 96 to 334 of the family's 1533-position model. The record is from RNAcentral.